RNAcentral lists this ribosomal RNA (253 nucleotides) under uncultured bacterium. RNAcentral's name for it is "partial 16S ribosomal RNA". It matches the Rfam family "Bacterial small subunit ribosomal RNA", at positions 524 to 776 of the family's 1533-position model. The record is from RNAcentral.
UACGUAGGGUGCGAGCGUUGUCCGGAAUUAUUGGGCGUAAAGGGCGCGUAGGCGGUUUCUUAAGUUUGGAGUGACAGUGGGUGGCUUAACUACCCAAGGCCUCUGAAAACUGGGGAACUUGAGGACCAGAGAGGGACAUAGAAUUCCGGGUGGAGUGGUGAAAUGCGUAGAUAUCCGGAGGAAUACCAAAGGCGAAGGCAGUGUCCUGGAGGGUGACUGACGCUGAGGCGCGAAAGCUAGGGGAGCAAACAGG